Molecule: long non-coding RNA, 418 nt
Organism: Triticum dicoccoides
Lineage: Eukaryota; Viridiplantae; Streptophyta; Magnoliopsida; Poales; Poaceae
Exons: 2
Source: RefSeq, a predicted model, not a curated record
CUACGAAGAGAAGGAUCCCCAACAUGACGAGCACCAGAGACAACACUCGCAUUCUGUGCUUGAUGGCUCUUGUCGCCAUGUCUACCACCAUCAUUUCCUGCCAUGCAGCAGGUACAACAGGUCUGGGUAUAACAAGCACUUUUAUGAAAUUGUGUGUAGCCGCAAAAGGUUGUGCGCCCCCAAUCCAACCUAGUGGCAACGUUCUGUGCAAGGCUUAUUGUGUAGGCCAAGGUUACAAUAAGGAUAAAAGCUAUUGCUCACCAGAUAAUGGCGGCAUGUGCUGCUGCGAGAAGUAAUGAAUUACAUGUAUUGCCAUGUGCUGGAAAGAUAUGGUGCACCAUUGAGAAUAUCUAUCUAUGUACAUCGGAAAUUACUUCACAUGAAGAAUAAUCAAUAUAUAUACACUUCUGCUUCGAUA